UCCCAUAUUGUCUAGUGGUUAGGAUACCCGGCUCUCACCUUCUAUUAUCAAAGAGAGUUCCCGGGAGGCCCGGGUUCAAUUCCCGGUAUGGGAA
RNAcentral lists this transfer RNA (94 nucleotides) under Daphnia pulex (common water flea). It matches the Rfam family "tRNA". Rfam says of the family: Transfer RNA (tRNA) molecules are approximately 80 nucleotides in length. Their secondary structure includes four short double-helical elements and three loops (D, anti-codon, and T loops). Lineage: Eukaryota; Metazoa; Arthropoda; Branchiopoda; Diplostraca; Daphniidae. The record is from Rfam by way of RNAcentral.